Molecule: long non-coding RNA, 1353 nt
Organism: Manis pentadactyla (Chinese pangolin)
Lineage: Eukaryota; Metazoa; Chordata; Mammalia; Pholidota; Manidae
Exons: 2
Source: RefSeq, a predicted model, not a curated record
UUUGGUGUAUACAUCUGCCAUGGAGACCAGACACCUGACCUAAUCCUGAAAGGAGAUGCCAUGCAAAGGGAAGAGCAUGGACAGGUGCAGAGAAAGCAGGUGACAUGCAAAGACCCAUAAACUGGGAUGGGAGGUGGGAGGUCAGGAGACAAGGCUGAAGAAGUGGGCAGGGGUUAGGUCUGGGAGGCCCAGGGGGUUGGGGGAAGCUCUUGGGUUAAUCCUGUAAACAGGGCCCUGGGAAGCAGGGGAAAGACCUGCUUGGAUUAGCCCUUUGGAGAUACUGCUCUGGCGGCAGCCUGGAGGCCAGUGCAACAGUGGGCAGGGGUGGCAGUGGGACGCUGAGGUUAGUCAUCAGGGAAAACCAACCACUGGAGAGGUGCCAGAACAGAGCCUGCACGGCCCCCCACUGCUGUGUGCACAUCCAAUCGCUGCGCAGCCUGAUUUGCUCUGCACGGUUUAGGAAGCCCAGUCACUUGUCUAUCAGCUGACCUGAAAUGUGCACUGAGACAUGGCUGAGGGGCUCAGGUGUGCUAUGAACUCCGGGAGCUUUCACAGCAACAUUUCUGUUUUCUGUCUAAUAGAAACACAUUUCCCUCUUUCCUCCCCACCCCCUCCCCUGCCAGGGCUCCAGCUUGUCCCAGUGAGGAACCCCUGACCACUCAAGGGGACACUUCUGUUCCCUCAGGCCUCCACUAUCUGCUUAUUCUGGGAAGACCAUAUGAAUGGGAUCAUACAGUAAGUGGCCUUUCAGGUCCAGCUUCUUUUACUUAGCAUGUUUCAAGGUUCAUCAUGUUGUAGGAUGCUUCCAUACUUCAUUCUUUUCUAUGGCCGAAUAAUAUUCUAUUGUAUGGGCACACUACACAUUUUUUUAUCCAUCCUUCUGUUGAUGGAGACUUGGGUUGUUUUUACCUUUUGGCUACUGUUGAAUUAUUAUCACUGAAUAAUGCUGCUAUGAACAUUGCUACAUAAAUAUGUUUGUGAGUUCCUGUUUUCAAUUCUUUUUUUUUUUUAAACAGAAAUCACCAAACUAUUUUCCACAGUGGCUGCAUCAUUUUACUUCCCACCAGCAAUGAACAAGGGUUCCAAUUUCUCCAUAUCCUUGCCAACAUCUUAUUUUCUAUGUGUUACUGGUGUUCAUAUUGUAGCCAUCCUAGUAGUUGUGAAGUAAUAUCUCAUGGUUUUGAUUUGCAUUUCCCCAAUGCCCAGUGACUAAUGGUGUUGAGACUGGGCAUGUGUUAACUACAUCAGCAAAGCAGGCACCAAAAAAUUGCAGUAAAAUUUCUUAGAAAUUUUUGAUAUUUGGCAUCAAAAUUUCUGUAACAAGAAAUCCAGCUCACCUUUUCUGAGAUAAUG